UUGAACGCUGGCGGUAGGCUUAACACAUGCAAGUCGUGCGAGAAAGUAUCUUCGGAUAUGAGUAGAGCGGCGGACGGGUGAGUAACGCGUAGGAAUCUACCUAGUAGAAGGGGAUAGCCCGAGGAAACUCGGAUUAAUACCGUAUACCUCCUUCGGGAGAAAGAAGGCCUCUCUUUGAAGCUUUCGCUACUAGAUGAGCCUGCGUAAGAUUAGCUUGUUGGUGAGGUAAAGGCUCACCAAGGCUACGAUCUUUAGCGGGUCUGAGAGGACGAUCCGCCACAUUGGGACUGAGACACGGCCCAGACUCCUACGGGAGGCAGCAGUGGGGAAUAUUGGACAAUGGGCGCAAGCCUGAUCCAGCCAUACCGCGUGUGUGAAGAAGGCCCUAGGGUUGUAAAGCACUUUAAGUUGGGAAGAAAAGUUAUUGGUUAAUACCCAAUAACCGUGACAUUACCAUCAGAAUAAGGACCGGCUA
Molecule: ribosomal RNA, 475 nt
Filed under: uncultured Pseudomonadota bacterium
Lineage: Bacteria; Pseudomonadati; Pseudomonadota
Description: bacterial SSU rRNA
Rfam family: Bacterial small subunit ribosomal RNA
Source: RNAcentral